GCCCCCAUAACUCAAUGGUAGAGUAACUGCCUUUUAAGCAGUAAGUCUAGGUUCGACUCCUAGUGGGGGCACAA
RNAcentral lists this transfer RNA (74 nucleotides) under Candidatus Nealsonbacteria bacterium CG_4_10_14_0_2_um_filter_37_10. RNAcentral describes it as "tRNA-Lys". It matches the Rfam family "tRNA". Rfam says of the family: Transfer RNA (tRNA) molecules are approximately 80 nucleotides in length. Their secondary structure includes four short double-helical elements and three loops (D, anti-codon, and T loops). Lineage: Bacteria; Candidatus Nealsoniibacteriota. RNAcentral also lists the same sequence under 1 other name. The record is from RNAcentral.